CUUCGCUCUCCCCCCCACAAUAACGAGAGCCACACCAGAGGCCAGAGCUGUGCUGUCUCAGCAAGCAAAGGGCAAAGGAGGCAACGAGAUGCUGUAGGGACUCUGACUCUUGCUGCCAGGCUGCAACAAGAGGAAGGGAGAUUCUGGCCCCCAACAGGUGAAAACAAGAGAGGAGCAAGGCAGGAAGCACAAAAGCAAACCUCUCUCAUGAAGGAAACAGCACAACUUCAAGCACAGCUUUCAGCACAGCAUACCAAGGAGGAACAGAAAUCCCAAGCAGAGCAGAGGGGAGGAGUGGCUUAGAGAAAAGCAAAAGCACCCCACAAAGCACACAGCCAAAACACCACCCCACAAAGGACACAGCCAACCUACCCCCGCAAAGGGGAGCAGCCAAAGGCUUCUGCCUCUCCUGGGGCAACUUAAAAAGGGGAGGUCAAUUGAAGUCUCCUCCCACCCCAGCUGUGGCCACUUUGCCCUCCCUGCUCAGUGCCCUUUAUAAGCAGAGCAGGAGGAGCCCAGCCCCAAGCUGGGCCCAUUGCGGGCCAAGGGAUCCUCCACCUGGCAUCCCAGGAGGUUGGAUCCUCGAGGGUUUUGCUCUGGGUUCUGCGAUGCAGGCAAAGAUGGAGCAGGAGCACCAACUGGAGCUGGUAAUGGACCAGCAGCAGCUGGUAAUGGAACUGAAAGCAGGAGUCAGCCACCUGCCACCCAUCCCCUCCUGAUCCCAACCCCAGAAACCCAAAGCAGCACUUGGCACAGGAGGUCUCUCGUGUUGCAGUCUCACCUUCACGCCCUGGAAUACUUUGCUUCAGCCAGCAGCAUGGGGUUGGAUACCAACAGCAGAGUCGACUUAACCUGUGACUAAGUGGACUUUAAGUGUUCUGACUCCACAGUAGAACUUGAUAAAGAAAGAUGUGAAUGGAAGCAGGCUCUGACUGCUCUGUGUAACUGAUGAGAAGCUUUCUGAAGGAGGUGAAUUUGUUUUACAGCCCUUCACUCAGCUGGUUACAGAUCUUCAAGGUAGCUGCUGGUGCAGUGUCUGUUGGAGACUGUUAGCCACUCUGAAGGAGGGAGUUAGUGGAGCAUCAUAGGAACAUGUAGAGAGAUUGGUCAGUAAAAGGCAUUUGUGUUA
Molecule: long non-coding RNA, 1129 nt
Organism: Pogoniulus pusillus (Red-fronted tinkerbird)
Lineage: Eukaryota; Metazoa; Chordata; Aves; Piciformes; Lybiidae
Exons: 3
Source: RefSeq, a predicted model, not a curated record